UACGUAGGGUCCGAGCGUUGUCCGGAAUUAUUGGGCGUAAAGGGCGCGUAGGCGGUUUGUCGCGUCGGGAGUGAAAACACCGGGCUUAACUCGGUGCUUGCUUCCGAUACGGGCAGACUAGAGGUAUGCAGGGGAGAAUGGAAUUCCUGGUGUAGCGGUGAAAUGCGCAGAUAUCAGGAGGAACACCGGUGGCGAAGGCGGUUCUCUGGGCAUUAACUGACGCUGAGGAGCGAAAGUGUGGGGAGCGAACAGG
RNAcentral lists this ribosomal RNA (253 nucleotides) under uncultured bacterium. Its description in RNAcentral is "partial 16S ribosomal RNA". It matches the Rfam family "Bacterial small subunit ribosomal RNA", at positions 524 to 776 of the family's 1533-position model. The record is from RNAcentral.